This 347-nucleotide ribosomal RNA is filed under the name uncultured bacterium. Its description in RNAcentral is "bacterial SSU rRNA". It matches the Rfam family "Bacterial small subunit ribosomal RNA", at positions 8 to 350 of the family's 1533-position model. The record is from RNAcentral.
AGAGUUUGAUCCUGGCUCAGGAUGAACGCUAGCUACAGGCUUAACACAUGCAAGUCGAGGGGAAACGACAUCGAAAGCUUGCUUUUGAUGGGCGUCGACCGGCGCACGGGUGAGUAACGCGUAUCCAACCUGCCCACCACUUGGGGAUAACCUUGCGAAAGUAAGACUAAUACCCAAUGACGUCUCUAGAAGACAUCUGAAGGAGAUAAAGAUUAUCGGUGAUGGAUGGGGAUGCGUCUGAUUAGCUUGUUGGCGGGGUAACGGCCACCAAGGCGACGAUCAGUAGGGUUCUGAGAGGAAGGUCCCCACAUUGGACUGAGACACGGUCCAAACUCCUACGGGAGGCA